RNAcentral lists this non-coding RNA (204 nucleotides) under Sphingomonas sp. The record is from RNAcentral. Lineage: Bacteria; Pseudomonadati; Pseudomonadota; Alphaproteobacteria; Sphingomonadales; Sphingomonadaceae.
AAUCCUGAUGCAGUCGAAGGUUCUUCGUCCGGGGCGUGCCCCGCGGCGGAGCUAAGACGGGAAGCCGGUGCGAUGCCGGCGCUGCCCCCGCAACUGUAAGCGGUGAGCUGCGGUCCAUAAUGUCACUGGGGUUCGCGCCCCGGGAAGACGGACCGUCGGCUGUGACCCGCGAGCCAGGAGACCUGCCUGCGACGCAUAACGUCC